Molecule: ribosomal RNA, 253 nt
Filed under: uncultured bacterium
Lineage: Bacteria
Description: partial 16S ribosomal RNA
Rfam family: Bacterial small subunit ribosomal RNA
Source: RNAcentral
UACGGAGGGUGCAAGCGUUAUCCGGAUUCACUGGGUUUAAAGGGUGCGUAGGUGGGCAGGUAAGUCAGUGGUGAAAUCUCCGAGCUUAACUCGGAAACUGCCGUUGAUACUAUUUGUCUUGAAUAUUGUGGAGGUAAGCGGAAUAUGUCAUGUAGCGAUGAAAUGCUUAGAUAUGACAUAGAACACCAAUUGCGAAGGCAGCUUACUACACAACGAUUGACGCUGAGGCACGAAAGCGUGGGGAUCAAACAGG